CCCACACCCAUGUGUGUGGGACCCCAAAGGAUCACCAUGAAAUUUGGCACUGAUCUCUAGAAAAGUUAUCACAUGGGUGUGAGACUUGAUACUUUUCUAGAAAACUGUGCCAAAUUUAAUGGUGAUCCUUUGGGGUCCUACACGCAUGGGUGUGGG
RNAcentral lists this microRNA precursor (156 nucleotides) under Amborella trichopoda. Its description in RNAcentral is "MIR8565 microRNA precursor family". It matches the Rfam family "MIR8565 microRNA precursor family". The record is from Rfam by way of RNAcentral. Lineage: Eukaryota; Viridiplantae; Streptophyta; Magnoliopsida; Amborellales; Amborellaceae.